CCUACGGGAGGCAGCAGUGAGGAAUAUUGGUCAAUGGACGCGAGUCUGAACCAGCCAAGUAGCGUGAAGGAUGACUGCCCUAUGGGUUGUAAACUUCUUUUAUAUGGGAAUAAAAUGUUCCACGUGUGGGAUUUUGUAUGUACCAUAUGAAUAAGGAUCGGCUAACUCCGUGCCAGCAGCCGCGGUAAUACGGAGGAUCCGAGCGUUAUCCGGAUUUAUUGGGUUUAAAGGGAGCGUAGGUGGAUUGUUAAGUCAGUUGUGAAAGUCUGCGGCUCAACCGUAGCAUUGCAGUUGAAACUGGCAGUCUUGAGUACAGUAGAGGUAGGCGGAAUUCGUGGUGUAGCGGUGAAAUGCUUAGAUAUCACGAAGAACUCCGAUUGCGAAGGCAGCUCACUGGACUGCAACUGACACUGAGGCUCGAAAGUGUGGGUAUCGAACAGGAUUAGAUACCCCAGUAGUC
Molecule: ribosomal RNA, 460 nt
Filed under: uncultured bacterium
Lineage: Bacteria
Description: partial 16S ribosomal RNA
Rfam family: Bacterial small subunit ribosomal RNA
Source: RNAcentral